GAUGAACGCUAGCUACAGGCUUAACACAUGCAAGUCGCGGGGCAGCAUGAAUUUAGCUUGCUAAAUUGAUGGCGACCGGCGCACGGGUGAGUAACGCGUAUCCAACCUGCCCAUGUCCACGGGAUAGCCCGUCGAAAGGCGGAUUAAUACCGUAUGAGGUCACACGAUGGCAUCAGAAUGUGACGAAAGGUUUGGCGGACAGGGAUGGGGAUGCGUCCGAUUAGGUAGUCGGCGGGGUAACGGCCCACCGAGCCGACGAUCAGUAGGGGUUCUGAGAGGAAGGUCCCCCACAUUGGAACUGAGACACGGUCCAAACUCCUACGGGAGGCAGCAGUGAGGAAUAUUGGUCAAUGGGCGAGAGCCUGAACCAGCCAAGUAGCGUGCAGGAUGACGGCCCUACGGGUUGUAAACUGCUUUUAUGAAGGAAUAAAGUCACCCACGUGUGGGUGUUUGCAUGUACUUUAUGAAUAAGGACCGGCUAAUUCCGUG
This 489-nucleotide ribosomal RNA is filed under the name uncultured bacterium. RNAcentral describes it as "bacterial SSU rRNA". It matches the Rfam family "Bacterial small subunit ribosomal RNA", at positions 28 to 507 of the family's 1533-position model. The record is from RNAcentral.